GUGCGGUCACAAAAAACAAAGUUUUUCGAACGUUGGCUUAGCCAGCGCCCCCGAAGGGAUGAACAAUCGCAUCGGCGAUUACAACUAAUAAACGAAAUU
RNAcentral lists this non-coding RNA (99 nucleotides) under [Mannheimia] succiniciproducens MBEL55E. Its description in RNAcentral is "Mannheimia succiniciproducens MBEL55E Aggregatibacter sRNA 22". It matches the Rfam family "Aggregatibacter sRNA 22". The record is from Rfam by way of RNAcentral. Lineage: Bacteria; Pseudomonadati; Pseudomonadota; Gammaproteobacteria; Pasteurellales; Pasteurellaceae.